Molecule: ribosomal RNA, 254 nt
Filed under: uncultured bacterium
Lineage: Bacteria
Description: partial 16S ribosomal RNA
Rfam family: Bacterial small subunit ribosomal RNA
Source: RNAcentral
UACGUAGGUGGCAAGCGUUGUCCGGAUUUAUUGGGUUUAAAGGGUGCGUAGGCGGCCUAUUAAGUCAGUGGUGAAAUAUCUCAGCUCAACUGAGAGUGUGCCAAUGAUACUGAUGGGCUUGAGUACAGAUGAGGUAGGCGGAAUUGACGGUGUAGCGGUGAAAUGCUUAGAUAUCGUCAAGAACACCUAUAGCGAAGGCAGCUUACUAGGCUGUAACUGACGCUGAGGCACGAAAGUGUGGGGAUCAAAACAGG